AUUCCAGCAGUUUUACAGAACCAAUUCAGGAAGCAAAUUAUGUGCCAAUGACUCCAGGAACAUUUGAUUUUUCCUCAUUUGGAAUGCAAGUUCCUCCUCCUGCUCAUAUGGGCUUCAGGUCCAGCCCAAAAACCCCUCCCAGAAGGCCAGUUCCUGUUGCAGACUGUGAACCACCCCCUGUGGAUAGAAACCUCAAGCCAGACAGAAAAGGUCAAAGUCCUAAAAUUAUAAGACUCAAACCCCAUGGUUUAGAGCGAACUGAUUCACAAACCAUAGGUGACUUUGCUACAAGAAGAAAGGUCAAGCCAGCACCUUUAGAAAUAAAACCUUUGCCAGAAUGGGAAGAAUUACAAGCCCCAGUUAGAUCUCCCAUCACUAGGAGUUUUGCUCGAGACUCUUCCAGGUUUCCCAUGUCCCCCCGACCAGAUUCAGUGCAUAGCACAACUUCAAGCAGUGACUCACACGACAGUGAAGAGAAUUAUGUUCCCAUGAACCCAAACCUGUCCAGUGAAGACCCAUAACAGUCUUGAUGGAGGAAGCAGCCCUAUGAUCAAGCCCAAAGGAGACAAACAGGUGG
This 577-nucleotide small RNA is filed under the name Pan troglodytes (chimpanzee). RNAcentral's name for it is "processed transcript". The record is from RNAcentral. Lineage: Eukaryota; Metazoa; Chordata; Mammalia; Primates; Hominidae.